RNAcentral lists this long non-coding RNA (309 nucleotides) under Homo sapiens (human). RNAcentral's name for it is "HSALNT0359152". Lineage: Eukaryota; Metazoa; Chordata; Mammalia; Primates; Hominidae. The record is from RNAcentral.
GCUAGCUAAAGAGAGUUCUUCAAUCUGAAAGAAAAAGACCUUAAUGGGCAUUAAGAACUCAUCUGAAGGUAUAAAACUCACUGGUAAUACAGGUCGUAAGACCCUCAUUCAAGAGGUACCUUCCCUAUACCCAGAGGAAAGAAGCAUUCUUAUCUUCAAAGACACAGAAAUGUCAAGAGGAAUCUGAACAAACAGGCUUUGCUAAGUUCUUCUCAAUUACUACCGUUAGAUCAUACCACCGUUGUCCAAUCCUACUUGCUCAUGUCCAUCCAUCUCAUCAAACCCAGCAUUAAAAAUAAACAAGUUUAC